Molecule: small nuclear RNA, 168 nt
Filed under: Echinops telfairi (small Madagascar hedgehog)
Lineage: Eukaryota; Metazoa; Chordata; Mammalia; Afrosoricida; Tenrecidae
Description: U1 spliceosomal RNA (ENSETEG00000021855.1)
Rfam family: U1 spliceosomal RNA
About the family: U1 is a small nuclear RNA (snRNA) component of the spliceosome (involved in pre-mRNA splicing).
Source: RNAcentral
AUACUUACCUGGCAGGGGAGGGAGAUUCCAUGAUCACGAAGGUGGUUUUCCCAGAGCGAGGCUUAUCCAUUGCACUCCGGAUGUGCUGACCCCUGUGAUUUCCCCAAAUGUGAGAAACUCGUUUGCAUAAUUUGUGGUAGUGGGGGACUGCGUUUGCGCGCUCCCCUU